AGGUACGAAGCCACAGAAAAACAUCGUAGUGAAAGGCAAUUCCAUUUUGUCUCAAGGAUGCCAGCACUAAUUGAAUCUGAAAGCAACAACUAUAUUUCCCCUCCAUAAGUGGCUACUAGGUGGAACAAUUAUGAAAUAUGACCUCUUCCUAGAGGAUUGGAGGGGAAUGUCUCCAGCUGUCAUCUCUGCAUUGAAAAAUGGUUCAGUGACUUUAGCCAGUAGUUUUAUAAUCGUUAUUCCACGGCAGCUUGGCACAACCUGAGAAAUGCUAGAGUUUGCAACUUCAAGUGCCCCAUUGCAAUUUAUCUGGAAUCUGUUUUGCCUCAUCUACUGAAGCCAAGCAAUGGAGAUUCAAGACAGAGGAAUCUGGUUGAGUGUUGUGGGAACAGGAGUUUAGAACCAGCCUUUGGUAAGACCCAGAAUGACUGUUUGUUGUCCUUCCACAAGCAGGCGAAGACCUUUCCC
Molecule: long non-coding RNA, 465 nt
Organism: Pogona vitticeps (central bearded dragon)
Lineage: Eukaryota; Metazoa; Chordata; Lepidosauria; Squamata; Agamidae
Source: RefSeq, a predicted model, not a curated record